UGGGGAAUAUUGCGCAAUGGGGGAAACCCUGACGCAGCGACGCCGCGUGCGGGAUGAAGGCCUUCGGGUUGUAAACCGCUUUUGAUUGGGAGCAAGCUUUCGGGUGAGUGUACCUUUCGAAUAAGGACCGGCUAAUUACGUGCCAGCAGCCGCGGUAAUACGUAAGGUCCGAGCGUUGUCCGGAAUCAUUGGGCGUAAAGGGUACGUAGGCGGAUAAGCAAGUUAGAAGUGAAAUCCUAUAGCUCAACUAUAGUAAGCUUUUAAAACUGCUCAUCUUGAGGUAUGGAAGGGAAAGUGGAAUUCCUAGUGUAGCGGUGAAAUGCGCAGAUAUUAGGAGGAAUACCGGUGGCGAAGGCGACUUUCUGGCCAUAUACUGACGCUGAGGUACGAAAGCGUGGGUAGCAAACAGG
Molecule: ribosomal RNA, 410 nt
Filed under: Verrucomicrobiota bacterium
Lineage: Bacteria; Pseudomonadati; Verrucomicrobiota
Description: Verrucomicrobia bacterium partial 16S ribosomal RNA
Rfam family: Bacterial small subunit ribosomal RNA
Source: RNAcentral